This 253-nucleotide ribosomal RNA is filed under the name uncultured bacterium. Its description in RNAcentral is "partial 16S ribosomal RNA". It matches the Rfam family "Bacterial small subunit ribosomal RNA", at positions 524 to 776 of the family's 1533-position model. The record is from RNAcentral.
UACGUAGGCAGCAAGCGUUGUUCGGAGUUACUGGGCGUAAAGGGUGCGUAGGCGGCUUUUUAAGUUUGGUGUGAAAUCUCCCGGCUCAACUGGGAGGGUGCGCCGAAUACUGAGAGGCUAGAGUGUGGGAGAGGAAAGUGGAAUUCCUGGUGUAGCGGUGAAAUGCGUAGAUAUCAGGAGGAACGCCGGUGGUGUAAACGGCUUUCUGGACCAUAACUGACGCUGAUGCACGAAAGCGUGGGUAGCAAACAGG